CGGCAGCGCGAGAGAGCUUGCUCUCUUGGCGGCGAGUGGCGGACGGGUGAGUAAUAUAUCGGAACGUGCCCAGUAGCGGGGGAUAACUACUCGAAAGAGUGGCUAAUACCGCAUACGCCCUACGGGGGAAAGGGGGGGAUCGCAAGACCUCUCACUAUUGGAGCGGCCGAUAUCGGAUUAGCUAGUUGGUGGGGUAAAGGCUCACCAAGGCAACGAUCCGUAGCUGGUUUGAGAGGACGACCAGCCACACUGGGACUGAGACACGGCCCAGACUCCUACGGGAGGCAGCAGUGGGGAAUUUUGGACAAUGGGGGAAACCCUGAUCCAGCCAUCCCGCGUGUAUGAUGAAGGCCUUCGGGUUGUAAAGUACUUUUGGCAGAGAAGAAAAGGUAUCCCCUAAUACGGGAUACUGCUGACGGUAUCUGCAGAAUAAGCACCGGCUAACUACGUGCCAGCAGCCGCGGUAAUACGUAGGGUGCAAGCGUUAAUCGGAAUUACUGGGCGUAAAGCGUGUGUAGGCGGUUCGG
RNAcentral lists this ribosomal RNA (527 nucleotides) under uncultured Alcaligenes sp. RNAcentral describes it as "bacterial SSU rRNA". It matches the Rfam family "Bacterial small subunit ribosomal RNA", at positions 67 to 583 of the family's 1533-position model. The record is from RNAcentral. Lineage: Bacteria; Pseudomonadati; Pseudomonadota; Betaproteobacteria; Burkholderiales; Alcaligenaceae.